AUAGAGGACUGAGCCCAGGCACGCACGGCUGGCCAGGUGGGGUCCCCAACCCCGCUCAGCCUUGUCUCUGCAUGGAUGCUGAAGGAUCAGGCUCACUUGAAGUUCUGAGCUUUAGCAGUAAGAAAAGGCUGAGCAGCCUCUGGUUCCCGUACCAGUCAAGUGAUUGGAGUUCCUUCCCAGUUUGGAAA
Non-coding RNA from Vicugna pacos (alpaca), 188 nucleotides. The record is from RefSeq and is a predicted model, not a curated record. Lineage: Eukaryota; Metazoa; Chordata; Mammalia; Artiodactyla; Camelidae.